UACGUAGGGUGCAAGCGUUGUCCGGAAUUAUUGGGCGUAAAGAGCUCGUAGGCGGUCUGUCGCGUCGGAUGUGAAAAUCCAGGGCUCAACCCUGGACCUGCAUUCGAUACGGGCAGACUAGAGUUCGGUAGGGGAGACUGGAAUUCCUGGUGUAGCGGUGAAAUGCGCAGAUAUCAGGAGGAAUACCUAUGGCGAAAGCAGGUAUCUGGGCCAUCACUGACGCUGAGCUGCGAAAGCUAGGGGAGCAAACAGG
RNAcentral lists this ribosomal RNA (253 nucleotides) under uncultured bacterium. Its description in RNAcentral is "partial 16S ribosomal RNA". It matches the Rfam family "Bacterial small subunit ribosomal RNA", at positions 524 to 776 of the family's 1533-position model. The record is from RNAcentral.